Non-coding RNA from Chelonoidis abingdonii (Abingdon island giant tortoise), 101 nucleotides. The record is from RefSeq and is a predicted model, not a curated record. NCBI's taxonomy places the organism in Eukaryota, Metazoa, Chordata, Testudines, Testudinidae.
AUUUGCUGCCAGGUGGAGAUGUAAAGGGCCAAAGUAUAAUUGGAUUCGAAAAAGAAUUCGACAAGUCCAUGGAAGAUUGGUCCAUCAAUGGCUAUUAGACA